Molecule: transfer RNA, 73 nt
Filed under: Isthmohyla picadoi
Lineage: Eukaryota; Metazoa; Chordata; Amphibia; Anura; Hylidae
Description: tRNA-Leu
Rfam family: tRNA
About the family: Transfer RNA (tRNA) molecules are approximately 80 nucleotides in length.
Source: RNAcentral
GUUAAUGUAGCAUAACUUGGUAUUGCAAAAGACCUAAACCCUUUUUAUAGAGAUUCAAAUCCUCUCAUUAACU